GAAAUGCGAUAAGUAGUGUGAAUUGCAGAAUUCAGUGAAUCAUCGAAUCUUUGAACGCACAUUGCGCCCUUUGGUAUUCCAAAGGGCAUGCCUGUUCGAGCGUCAUUUGUACCCUCAAGCUUUGCUUGGUGUUGGGCGUCUUGUCUCUAGCUUUGCUGGAGACUCGCCUUAAAGUAAUUGGCAGCCGGCCUACUGGUUUCGGAGCGCAGCACAAGUCGCACUCUCUAUCAGCAAAGGUCUAGCAUCCAUCAAGCCUUUUUUCAACUUUUGACCUCGGAUCAGGUAGGGAUACCCGCUGAACUUAAGC
This 307-nucleotide unclassified non-coding RNA is filed under the name plant metagenome. Its description in RNAcentral is "partial contains 5.8S ribosomal RNA, internal transcribed spacer 2, and large subunit ribosomal RNA". The stretch from base 1 to 105 matches the Rfam family "5.8S ribosomal RNA", at positions 50 to 154 of the family's 154-position model. The record is from RNAcentral.